Molecule: ribosomal RNA, 459 nt
Filed under: Triticum aestivum (bread wheat)
Lineage: Eukaryota; Viridiplantae; Streptophyta; Magnoliopsida; Poales; Poaceae
Description: partial small subunit ribosomal RNA
Source: RNAcentral
UGCUUUAAGUUUGACAACAAUUGGCUUAAUAACCCAGAGUUUUUGCCUCUGGUUGCUGAAAUUUGGUCGAGACCUGUAUAUACCGAGGACCCUAUUGACACUCUGAACAUAAAACUGAAGAGAAUUAAAACAUUCUUUAAAGGGUGGGGCUCCAAUAUUUUUGGGCACAACAAGAUCAGAAGAAACAUCAUUAAGCUCGAACUGCAAGAGCUGGAAGGGCUUGAGGAGACUGUUAGGUUAUGUGGACAGGUCUAUACCAGAAAACUGGAAAUUUUGCUAGAGCUCAAUAACAUGUAUGUGGAGGAAGAGCUGUAUUGGCAUCAAUUCUCUACUCAGAGAUGGCUCCUGAAAGGAGAUAACAAUACUAAUUUUUUCCAUAAGGUAGCAAAUGGCCGCCGGAGGAAAAAUUCCAUGAUCUCACUGGAGUAUGGUGCGAUCAUUGUUGAAGGGACUAAGAAC